UAAGGAAUAUUGGUCAAUGGACGCAAGUCUGAACCAGCCAUGCCGCGUGGAGGAUGAAGGUCCUCUGGAUUGUAAACUUCUUUUAUCUGGGACGAAACACUUCUUUUCUAAGAGGCCUGACGGUACCAGAUGAAUAAGCACCGGCUAACUCCGUGCCAGCAGCCGCGGUAAUACGGAGGGUGCAAGCGUUAUCCGGAUUCACUGGGUUUAAAGGGUGCGUAGGUGGGUAUGUAAGUCAGUGGUGAAAUCCCCGAGCUUAACUUGGGAACUGCCAUUGAUACUAUAUAUCUUGAAUACCGUAGAGGUAAGCGGAAUAUGUCAUGUAGCGGUGAAAUGCUUAGAUAUGACAUGGAACACCAAUUGCGAAGGCAGCUUACUAUGCGGUGAUUGACACUGAGGCACGAAAGUGUGGGGAGCAAACA
This 422-nucleotide ribosomal RNA is filed under the name uncultured bacterium. RNAcentral's name for it is "bacterial SSU rRNA". It matches the Rfam family "Bacterial small subunit ribosomal RNA", at positions 355 to 774 of the family's 1533-position model. The record is from RNAcentral.